RNAcentral lists this ribosomal RNA (253 nucleotides) under uncultured bacterium. Its description in RNAcentral is "partial 16S ribosomal RNA". It matches the Rfam family "Bacterial small subunit ribosomal RNA", at positions 524 to 776 of the family's 1533-position model. The record is from RNAcentral.
UACUUAGGUGGCAAGCGUUAUCCGGAAUUACUGGGCGUAAAGCGCACGCAGGUGGUUACUUAAGUCUGAUGUGAAAGCUCCUGGCUUAACUGGGAGAGGUCGUUGGAAACUGGGUAACUUGAGGUGAUGAGAGGGGUGUGGAAUUCCCGGUGUAGUGGUGGAAUGCGUAGAUAUCGGGGGGAACACCAGUGGCGAAAGCGGCACCCUAGCAUUGACCUGACGCUCAGGUGCGAAAGCGUGGGUAGCGAACGGG